AACGAACGCUGGCGGCAGGCCUAACACAUGCAAGUCGAGCGGGGGAGCAAUCCCUAGCGGCGGACGGGUUAGUAACGCGUGGGAACGUGCCCAAAGGUACGGAAUAGCCUCGGGAAACUGAGAGUAAUACCGUAUGUGCCCCUCGGGGGAAAGAUUUAUCGCCUUUGGAUCGGCCCGCGUUGGAUUAGGUAGUUGGUGGGGUAAUGGCCCACCAAGCCGACGAUCCAUAGCUGGUUUGAGAGGAUGAUCAGCAACACUGGGACUGAGACACGGCCCAGACUCCUACGGGAGGCAGCAGUGGGGAAUCUUAGACAAUGGGGGAAACCCUGAUCUAGCCAUGCCGCGUGAGCGAUGAAGGCCUUAGGGUUUAAAGCUCUUUCAGAUGGGAAGAUAAUGACGGUACCAUCAGAAGAAGCCCCGGCUAACUCCGUG
Molecule: ribosomal RNA, 432 nt
Filed under: uncultured bacterium
Lineage: Bacteria
Description: bacterial SSU rRNA
Rfam family: Bacterial small subunit ribosomal RNA
Source: RNAcentral